RNAcentral lists this ribosomal RNA (427 nucleotides) under uncultured bacterium. RNAcentral describes it as "partial 16S ribosomal RNA". It matches the Rfam family "Bacterial small subunit ribosomal RNA", at positions 355 to 774 of the family's 1533-position model. The record is from RNAcentral.
UGGGGAAUUUUGGACAAUGGGCGCAAGCCUGAUCCAGCAAUGCCGCGUGAGUGAAGAAGGCCCUCGGGUUGUAAAGCUCUUUUGUCAGGUAAGAAAAGGUGAUCUCUAAUACAGGUCACUCAUGACGGUACCUGAAGAAUAAGCACCUGCUAACUACGUGCAAGCAGCCGCGGUAAUACGUAGGGUGCAAGCGUUAAUCGGAAUUACUGGGCGUAAAGCGUGCGCAGGCGGUUAUAUAAGUCAGAUGUGAAAUCCCCGGGCUCAACCUGGGAACUGCAUUUGAGACUGUAUGGCUAGAGUGUGUCAGAGGGGGGUAGAAUUCCACGUGUAGCAGUGAAAUGCGUAGAUAUGUGGAGGAAUACCGAUGGCGAAGGCAGCCCCCUGGGAUAACACUGACGCUCAUGCACGAAAGCGUGGGGAGCAAACA